GAUGAACGCUGGCGGCGUGCCUAAUACAUGCAAGUCGAGCGAACAGACGAGGAGCUUGCUCCUCUGACGUUAGCGGCGGACGGGUGAGUAACACGUGGAUAACCUACCUAUAAGACUGGGAUAACUUCGGGAAACCGGAGCUAAUACCGGAUAAUAUAUUGAACCGCAUGGUUCAAUAGUGAAAGACGGUUUUGCUGUCACUUAUAGAUGGAUCCGCGCCGCAUUAGCUAGUAGGUAAGGUAACGGCUUACCAAGGCGACGAUGCGUAGCCGACCUGAGAGGGUGAUCGGCCACACUGGAACUGAGACACGGUCCAGACUCCUACGGGAGGCAGCAGUAGGGAAUCUUCCGCAAUGGGCGAAAGCCUGACGGAGCAACGCCGCGUGAGUGAUGAAGGUCUUCGGAUCGUAAAACUCUGUUAUUAGGGAAGAACAAAUGUGUAAGUAACUAUGCACGUCUUGACGGUACCUAAUCAGAAAGCCACGGCUAACUACGUG
This 497-nucleotide ribosomal RNA is filed under the name uncultured bacterium. Its description in RNAcentral is "partial 16S ribosomal RNA". It matches the Rfam family "Bacterial small subunit ribosomal RNA", at positions 28 to 507 of the family's 1533-position model. The record is from RNAcentral.